GCCUCCACCCUCUGGGGCCAUCCUGCUGCUGGGCCGUGUCCCGAUGCCCUUCCUGACCGAGGGCCCUGGUGACCGGCCCUCCCGCCCUGGCUCGGUCUAUGCGCUGGAACCACAGGUGAGCUGUUGUCCCCGGAGCGGGGGAAGGGGGAAAGGCGAGGUCGGCUGGUGCAGGGCCCUGCUGUUGCCCGUCUCCACCCAGGGCCUCUGGCGGCUGAGCCGGCACCCAGACCCGUUUCCCAACUGAGCAGGCAGCUGACUUGGGGAAGCUGUGCAGUGGGCUCAGGUUUUGGGGUGCUGUGUGAGCAUAGCGCCACAGGCGGACCGGGCUCAGAGACCCUCAGGAACAGGGAGGCACCUGUGCGUGGUGGCCUCAGCCCGGCCCCGCACUUGGGGUGGGGCUGGCGCAGGGGGCGCAGCGGGUGCAGGGCAGCCGGUGAGGCCGGGUGGGCACUGGAGACUGCAGGCCCUAGGUGCACACCAGCACGUGCCAGAAUGAGGGGGAGCCGCUGGCGCCUGUCCUCCCUGGGGCUGGGUCCGGCCCACGCCAGUUCUAGAAGGCUCUUGACACCACUUCCGACCUGACCCCAUCCGCUCUCUGUGCAGCCCCCAGACCUGGGGUGGGGGGCCAGGCGCUGGACGCACGCCGUCCUCCCACACAGCGCUAUUCAGAGGCCCGGGCCGAGCGCCACGCAGGUCCAGGCGUGGCCGGGCACUGCAGCCAGCUGUGCUCCGG
Long non-coding RNA from Lutra lutra (Eurasian river otter), 733 nucleotides. RefSeq lists it as uncharacterized. The record is from RefSeq and is a predicted model, not a curated record. The transcript has 3 exons. NCBI's taxonomy places the organism in Eukaryota, Metazoa, Chordata, Mammalia, Carnivora, Mustelidae.